UACGUAGGGUGCGAGCGUUGUCCGGAAUUAUUGGGCGUAAAGAGCUCGUAGGCGGUGUGUCGCGUCGGUCGUGAAAACUUGGGGCUUAACCCUGAGCUUGCGGUCGAUACGGGCAUCACUGGAGUUCGGCAGGGGAGACCGGAAUUCCUGGUGUAGCGGUGAAAUGCGCAGAUAUCAGGAGGAACACCGGUGGCGAAGGCGGGUCUCUGGGCCGAUACUGACGCUGAGGAGCGAAAGCGUGGGGAGCGAACAGG
Molecule: ribosomal RNA, 254 nt
Filed under: uncultured bacterium
Lineage: Bacteria
Description: partial 16S ribosomal RNA
Rfam family: Bacterial small subunit ribosomal RNA
Source: RNAcentral